Molecule: ribosomal RNA, 429 nt
Filed under: Gemmatimonadota bacterium
Lineage: Bacteria; Pseudomonadati; Gemmatimonadota
Description: Gemmatimonadetes bacterium partial 16S ribosomal RNA
Rfam family: Bacterial small subunit ribosomal RNA
Source: RNAcentral
UAGGGAAUCUUCGGCAAUGGACGAAAGUCUGACCGAGCAACGCCGCGUGAGUGAAGAAGGUUUUCGGAUCGUAAAACUCUGUUGUUAGAGAAGAACAAGGACGUUAGUAACUGAACGUCCCCUGACGGUAUCUAACCAGAAAGCCACGGCUAACUACGUGCCAGCAGUCGCGGUAAUACGUAGGUGGCAAGCGUUGUCCGGCUUUAUUGGGCGUAAAGCGAGCGCAGGCGGUUUCUUAAGUCUGAUGUGAAAGCCCCCGGCUCAACCGGGGAGGGUCAGUGGAAACUGGGAGACUUGAGUGCAGAAGAGGAGAGUGGAAUUCCAUGUGUAGCGAUGAAAUGCGUAGAUAUAUGGAGGAACACCAGUGGCGAAGGCGGCUCUCUGGUCUGUAACUGACGCUGAGGCUCGAAAGCGUGGGGAGCAAACAGG